GAUGAACGCUGGCGGCGUGCCUAAUACAUGCAAGUCGAGCGAACAGAUGAGGAGCUUGCUCCUCUGACGUUAGCGUCGGACGGGUGAGUAACACGUGGAUAACCUACCUAUAAGACUGGGAUAACUUCGUGAAACCGGAGCUAAUACCGGAUUAUAUAUUGAACCGCAUGGUUCAAUAGUGAAAGACGGUUUUGCUUUCACUUAUCGAUGGAUCCGCGCCGGAUUAGCUAGUUGGUAAGGUAACGGCUUACCAAGGCAACGAUGCGUAGCCGACCUGAGAGGGUGAUCGGCCACACUGGAACUGAGACAAGGUCCAGACUCCUACGGGAGGCAGCAGUAGGGAAUAUUCCGCAAUGGGCGAAAGCCUGACGGAGCAACGCCGCGUGAGUGAUGAAGGUCUUCGGAUCGUAAAACUCUGUUAUUAGGGAAGAACAAAUGUGUAAGUAAAUAUGCACGUCUUGACGGUACCUAAUCAGAAAGCCACGGCUAACUACGUG
This 497-nucleotide ribosomal RNA is filed under the name uncultured bacterium. RNAcentral describes it as "partial 16S ribosomal RNA". It matches the Rfam family "Bacterial small subunit ribosomal RNA", at positions 28 to 507 of the family's 1533-position model. The record is from RNAcentral.